CGCGUGUAUGAAGAAGGUUUUCGGAUCGUAAAGUACUGUUGUUAGAGAAGAACAAGGAUAAGAGUAACUGCUUGUCCCUUGACGGUAUCUAACCAGAAAGCCACGGCUAACUACGUGCCAGCAGCCGCGGUAAUACGUAGGUGGCAAGCGUUGUCCGGAUUUAUUGGGCGUAAAGCGCGCGCAGGCGGUCUUUUAAGUCUGAUGUGAAAGCCCCCGGCUUAACCGGGGAGGGUCAUUGGAAACUGGAAGACUGGAGUGCAGAAGAGGAGAGUGGAAUUCCACGUGUAGCGGUGAAAUGCGUAGAUAUGUGGAGGAACACCAGUGGCGAAGGCGACUCUCUGGUCUGUAACUGACGCUGAGGCGCGAAAGCGUGGGGAGCAAACAGGAUUAGAUACCCUGGUAGUCCACGCCGUAAACGAUGAGUGCU
This 427-nucleotide ribosomal RNA is filed under the name Listeria monocytogenes. RNAcentral's name for it is "bacterial SSU rRNA". It matches the Rfam family "Bacterial small subunit ribosomal RNA", at positions 398 to 817 of the family's 1533-position model. The record is from RNAcentral. Lineage: Bacteria; Bacillati; Bacillota; Bacilli; Caryophanales; Listeriaceae.